UUUUUUUUUUUUUUUUUUUUUUGAGACAGAGUCACUCUAUCUUUCAGCCUAUGAGUGCAGCCUCUUGAUCUUGGCUCACUGCAACCUCUGUCUGCUGGGUUCAAGCAAUUCUGGUGCCUCAGCCUCCCAAGUAGCUGGUGUGUCUGCCACCACACCCGGCUAAUUUUUGUAUUUUAACUUCCAUUUUAUAUUAUUUUUGAGUCUGUCUGUCACCAAGACUGGAGUGUAGUGGCGCCAUCUCGGCUCACUGCGACCUCCACCUCCCGGGUUCAAGCAAUUCUCCUACCUCAGUCUCCUGAAUAGCAGAGAUUACAGACACUUACCAAGCCCGGCUACUUUUUGUGUAUUUAGUAGAGACAGCGUUUCACCAUGUUGGCCAGGCUGGUCUCGAUCUCCUGACCUCAAGUAAUCAGCACACCUCGGCCUUCCAGAGUGCUAGGAUUACCGGAUGACCCACACGCCCGGCCCAUUUUUGUAUUUUUAGUAGAUACAGGGUUUCACCAUGUUGGCCAGGCUGCUCUCAAACUCCUCAGGUCAAGUGAUCCUCCCACCUAUGCCUCCUAAGUAGCUGGGACCACAGACACACAGACGUGCACCACCAUACCUGGCGAAGUUUUGUAUUUUUGGUAGAGAUGGGGUUUCACCAUGUUGCUCAGGCUGUUCUCAAACUCCUGAGUUCAAGCGAUCUACCUGCCACAGCCUCCUAGAGUGCUGGGAUGACAGGCAUGAGCCACCGCACCCAGCCUCUGCGUGGGGUUUCGUCAGGGCUGGGUCUGUGCCCUGAAGGGGAGCUCAUUCCAGCCCAGCUCCCCACUGCUGCAGCUUGUGUGUGGACUCCUCCAGAAGGGGAGCGGGAGUUUCCCUGUAGGAGUUUAUCAUCCAUGGUGAGGAGGGCAGCAGGGGGCACUAUUUCCUCAGGGUGAGGUCUUUAGUUAGGCCUCUGAGCCCAAGCUAAGCCAUCAUAUCCCCUGUGACCUGCACGUAUACAUCCAGAUAGCCUGAAGCAACUGUAAAAAUAUCCUUAACUGAUGACAUUCCAAUAUUGUGAUUUGUUUCUGCCCUACCCUGACUGAUCAAUGUGCUUUGUAAUCUCCCCCACCCUUCAGAAGGCUCUUUGUAAUCCUCCCCACCCUUGAGAAUGGACUUGGUGAGAUCCACCCCCUGCCUGCAAAGCAUUGCCCCUAACUCCACCGCCUGUCCCAAAACCUAUGAGAACUAAUGAUAAUCCCACCACACUUUGCUGACUCUCUUUCCAGACUCAGCCCGGCUGCACCCAGGUGAAAUAAACAGCCUCGUUGCUCACACAAA
Molecule: long non-coding RNA, 1308 nt
Filed under: Homo sapiens (human)
Lineage: Eukaryota; Metazoa; Chordata; Mammalia; Primates; Hominidae
Description: novel transcript
Source: RNAcentral